CAAGUUAAAGCUAAUUUAAGCGUUUUAUUUACACUAAGAAGUGUGGUUGUUGAUUACAACUUAAUUUGA
Molecule: transfer RNA, 69 nt
Filed under: Histeridae sp. BMNH 1274739
Lineage: Eukaryota; Metazoa; Arthropoda; Insecta; Coleoptera; Histeridae
Description: tRNA-Val
Source: RNAcentral